This is a long non-coding RNA of Gallus gallus (chicken), 2384 nucleotides long. RefSeq lists it as uncharacterized. The transcript is spliced from 3 exons. The record is from RefSeq and is a predicted model, not a curated record. NCBI's taxonomy places the organism in Eukaryota, Metazoa, Chordata, Aves, Galliformes, Phasianidae.
UGCCUUUCAUGAACCCAGGCUGGCUAAGCCUGAUCCCCUGGUUGUCCUGCACAUGCUGUGUGAUCUCCCUUAAGAUAAUCUGCAAGUCGCAGAAGAAUUAGUCAGUGUUUUGAGGAAAUUGAUAGAGCUUCCUGUCAGUGCAGGGAAAGACAUGUAACUGAGGGUAGCCAGUUUUGCCAAUCCUUCCUGACUGAAAGCAUCUGGGAGCUCCAGGCUGCAGUGAAGUUUUAUGAAUUAACAAGUGAGGUGCUCAAUGCUAAGAAAAACUACGGUGGUGUCAAAAGGGCUGUCAUGGAAACUGCUUUCAACAGCAUGGCUUUAUCAGCAACCACAGCUCACAGCGGCCCUGCCAGACCAACUCCACAACCACACUGAGACAACGGCAGCCAACUGCUGAAACAAAUGGAGCAAAUCCAGCUUCGUACAGGCAUGAAAAAAGGAUUCCCCAGGAUGAUAGAAGAUACAGAAAACUUGUCAGUGUGCUCAUCUAAAUGGAUGUCAGUUAACUGCUCUUGCUAUAAGGCAGGACUCAGUUUUUGAGUCCUAUUAUCAUUGUGCAAUACCAUCAGCCCCUCAGCUCCAACCCCAGUGCAGCUGCUGAUGACUCUGGGGCUAUUCUGAGGGAAUGGAUGUUUUUAUGAUGCACUGUUCUGACUGGUGAGGCCAUUCCCCUCAUUUCACACUCAUCUAUUCCAGGUCUGUGACUCCUUUAGCAUGGCCUUUUCCUUCAGGCCAGGCUCCCACCAUAAAGGCCCAGCUGUUGCAGCUAUUCACAAUUACAGGAAAUGAACAGAACCAAAUACUGGGCUGUUAUCUUUUUUUAUGUCAUCUGAAGUCAUGUUUUUCCCUUUUGCCUGUGUGUGUGUGGAGCCAUCACAGAACACAGGAUUACACAGGGUCACUCCAUAGAAGCAGCCAAACAGAAGUGAAGCAACAAGCCUGUCCCAGAAGAGAAAGGCCCGACCCUUACUGCUAAGUGAAAGUGUCUGAUCGAAAGAGAAACAUGCGUUCAGAAGAGAAAGAAAUGACCCAUAAUGUUACUGCAGUUCUCUGUGACGAGAAGUGAAAAGGAAACCCAUGCUUCCUUUUUUUUUUGCAUUAAUUUUAACUUUUCAUUUCUUCCCUCCAGGCAUCUUCCCUCCAAGCUACAGCUCUUUCCAUUGGCAUAACGCAGACAAUACAGGACACAAAUUCCCUUAUGCUGGUCCUACACAAAUUACCAGCUGUGCUGAUUUCUUUUCCUGCUGUUAAGUCUCAGCUCCCCCUGCCACCAUACAUCCUCUUUCUUACCCAAAUGAAGCUCUACACUCUUUUGAUGGGGUGUAGAGGGAGAGAAAAUAUGGAAGAGAACUAGCAGGUCUUCAGGACAAGGACAGUAUGAAAUAGACAUGGUGAUGAGAAACAUUACUGCCUUUAUCAGGCAGUCCCUCCAGGCUUGCGUAGUUUUGGUGGCUGCUGAGAUACAGGGGCUGAGUGCAGAAUGUGACCAAUGGAAAGGAAAACAAAAGGGGCCCCAUAGCUGCUGUGCCCUAUAAACAAAGCACAGCUUUCUGAGUCCAUGUGAGAAUUUGCAUAAGAGCCCUGGAAGUACUGAGAUCUGCCAGAAGGCAAGAGCAGCGAUCAGAGAAAUGAGGAGUGUGGGAUAACAAAAUGAUAAGAGGACUUUGACUACUGAGAGUGCAAAGAAAGGUACACUGUAAAAUGAAAAAUAAUUAGUAAUUUAUUCCUAUAAAAAGAUCAAACAGACAUUUGAAUGGCAACAUUGGCAAGGGGCAGCAAACAUUUAAUAGAUAAUCAAAGUACCCUAAGGAAGUGUUUUAUUGAGCUUUGGCACUGACAGGUGCAGGAGAGGAGUUACCUGAAAAGAGCAAUGCUGCUAUGGAUAAGAACAACUGCCUCAGUUCGCUAGCGAGAGUUACGUUCUAAUGUCCCAAGAAAUAAACUGAGCACUGCCUGGGAAAAUGGGAUUUUUCGUCAUGAAGAUAGUACCGCAGAAUUGUUUUAGUAUAAAGAAAUGAGGGAUGGGGACUUUCUUUAUCCCACUGGCUUACUUAAAUAUGGUGGGAGUAAAGCGUCAAGAUACAGGUCAGAUGGAAACAUAGCCUCAGCUGACUUCCCCUAGGUUAAGAAGUUUCAAAAAGACGUGUUCUGGGCUCAGGAAAAUGAUGCAAUCUGCUCAGUGUUGUAUUUCCUCAGGGCUUGUAGGUCACAGGUUCAUGCCAUGCAUCCAGGCCAUGCCAAGAUCAAACGGUGGUAACAAAAUAGGCACAUCCUGAGGACAAGGAGGUACACCUUGUGAAAGGCUCUGAAUUUAACCUCUCACGUGAGAUGAUAUUUCCUAAAGGAUUUGUUAAGGGAUAUGAGUUUGACCACUGGAAAUCAUG